UACGGAGGGGGCAAGCGUUGUUCGGAAUUACUGGGCGUAAAGGGCGCGCAGGCGGCUGCUCAAGUCAGGCGUGAAAGGCCUGGGCUCAACCCGGGAACUGCGUCCGAUACUGGCAGGCUUGAAUCCGGGAGAGGGAUGCGGAAUUCCAGGUGUAGCGGUGAAAUGCGUAGAUAUCUGGAGGAACACCGGUGGCGAAGGCGGCAUCCUGGACCGGUAUUGACGCUGAGGCGCGAAAGCCAGGGGAGCAAACGGG
This 253-nucleotide ribosomal RNA is filed under the name uncultured bacterium. Its description in RNAcentral is "partial 16S ribosomal RNA". It matches the Rfam family "Bacterial small subunit ribosomal RNA", at positions 524 to 776 of the family's 1533-position model. The record is from RNAcentral.